GUGGGGAAUCUUGCGCAAUGGGCGAAAGCCUGACGCAGCCAUGCCGCGUGAAUGAUGAAGGUCUUAGGAUUGUAAAAUUCUUUCACCGGGGACGAUAAUGACGGUACCCGGAGAAGAAGCUCCGGCUAACUUCGUGCCAGCAGCCGCGGUAAUACGAAGGUGGCUAGCGUUGCUCGGAAUUACUGGGCGUAAAGGGCGCGUAGGCGGACAGCUUAGUCAGAGGUGAAAGCCCAGGGCUCAACCUUGGAAUUGCCUUUGAUACUGGCUGUCUUGAGUACGGGAGAGGUGAGUGGAACUCCGAGUGUAGAGGUGAAAUUCGUAGAUAUUCGGAAGAACACCAGUGGCGAAGGCGACGCACUGGCCCGUUACUGACGCUGAGGCGCGAAAGCGUGGGGAGCAAACAGGAUUAGAAACCCCGGUAGUCC
Molecule: ribosomal RNA, 425 nt
Filed under: uncultured bacterium
Lineage: Bacteria
Description: partial 16S ribosomal RNA
Rfam family: Bacterial small subunit ribosomal RNA
Source: RNAcentral